AGAAUCAACGCUGGCGGCGUGCCUAACACAUGCAAGUCGCACGAGAAAGGGACUUCGGUCUUGAGUAAAGUGGCGCACGGGUGAGUAACACGUGAAUCAUCUACCUCCGAAUGGGGAAUAACUGAGAGAAAUCUUAGCUAAUACCGCAUAAUACCCACGGGUCAAAGCAGCAAUGCGCUUGGAGAGGAGUUCGCGGCAGAUUAGUUAGUUGGCGGGGUAAUGGCCCACCAAGACGAUGAUCUGUA
This 245-nucleotide ribosomal RNA is filed under the name uncultured bacterium. RNAcentral describes it as "partial small subunit ribosomal RNA". It matches the Rfam family "Bacterial small subunit ribosomal RNA", at positions 26 to 285 of the family's 1533-position model. The record is from RNAcentral.